Molecule: long non-coding RNA, 2537 nt
Organism: Lathyrus oleraceus (garden pea)
Lineage: Eukaryota; Viridiplantae; Streptophyta; Magnoliopsida; Fabales; Fabaceae
Exons: 2
Source: RefSeq, a predicted model, not a curated record
CCCAACCCGACUACACUGCUCUCCCAAAAAACCCUAGAAUAGGCGCAUUGCGUAAUUCGCGUUCCACCCGUUAGUAGUAACCCUAGACACAACGCUUAUAUAUAUACUCUCAUACUUCCCUCAGUUCUCAACAACCAGCAGUCUACCUCGGCAGCAGUGGCCGAGCUCCUCCUCCUCACCAAGAAGAUUGCGAAGCAGAGAUCAAGAAUUUUUAAUCACCAUAGAGUGAACAAUAGAUUAUUGUGAUGGUAUACUUUUUAUUCAUUUUUUUUGCUUAUGUUUAUAGAAUUUGAUUUUUCACGGAUGUGAUGAUAGUAUUGUCGCCCCAGUCUUACUUUGCACCAAAGGUGUAAUAUGGUGACUGACUUCUAAUCUGAUCCUGCUUAUCAAUUUUAUUCUUCUUUUCAUGAAAUUAAUUUUUUGUUACUGCUUUUAUAUUAUUAUUCAAUUUUCACUAUGCAACUUUGAUUCAUUGAUUCAUGGGAUAUGAGGAUACAAUCUUUUAAUGUGACAUCCAGUCUUACUAUGAAUUUCGUACAUGGUGAUAGAUCGACUAUCUGAUCCCAAAAUCCAAAUCUGAAUCUUUUGCAAAUGUAACAAACAAUUAUGAUUUUUUUAAACUUUUUUAUUUUGAAUUGCAAAGAGAAAUGACGAUAUUUAUCCAACGGUUCUGUUAUAGAUGAUGAAACAAACAUGCACUACCAUCUGAUCUCUUGCAGUUUAAUUCUAUUUUUUUAUUUUAAUUAUUAUUGUAGUUUUUGUUAAUUGCCUAUGGUAUCUGAUGUCCAGAAUAUAGACUUUUGUCUUGUAUCUUGACAUUUCGUUUUUACGGGCAUAUACUAAACUCUUACAGGACUUGCGACACAGAGGUUUUCGGGGUUUCCGAAAUUCAAGCCUACUGUUACUAAUUUCCUGUUUACAUUUCAUUUAUUCAUCAAGAUCUUAUUUAUAUAAAGUUGGUUCAAAUGGUUAAUAUGUCAUUUGUAGUUGUGCAAUCCAUGAUGCAAAAAUUUCCAAAUUAUUAUGAUUUCUGUGAUUAAUUAAAGAAAAAUCACCAUCUUUCGGCUGAGAUUGCAGUUCAAAUUAUUUAUAUUCUAUUGUUUAUAUGUUUCAUGUGUUUAGCCUUGAUCGUCCUACUAUUCAUCUAGUUCAUUAAAGUAUCUAACUUGUUUGUUUAAUAGAAAGAAAAAGCACCCAAAUUCCAGUUCAUUAAAGUUGAGUUUCAUGUGUUUUGGCUACAUAUAAUCACAUCAAUCUUUAAUCAAAUACAACAUAAAGCAGAAUAUAAAUUAUUUUGAGAACAACUCAUAGACGGGAAAUAAAACCCAAUUUUUAAUACAUUGAAACUUUUUUAGAAGUGUUUUGGUGUUUUUUAUUUAUUUAUAAUUUAAUUUUUAUAGUUAUUUGAAGAUGAGGUGUUGAUGAUAAGAUUGUAGACUGUAGUUUAGUUUGAGACACAUUUUAAAUGUGCAGCAGGAUCGAUUGGUUCAUUGUGUUUUGCAUCCUCGAUUGGUCCUGUCCCAUUGUGAAAGAGGUGUUAGUUCCUAUUUAAGAAGCCGGAACAUUUUAUCCUAAUUGGGUGCUGGACACUGAACUUAUUGUUGGGUAUGCAAGUUCACAAACCCUACUUUUUAAUGUCCUUUUCCCAACAUCUAAUUAACUAAAAUGUUUCCACAAUUCAUCCGUUUCACAAGUCAUAUCCACUUAUGAUCCAUCAUAUGCACCUAUUUCUAACUCAAUUUCCAUUGUUAGUUUCCUCCAAUGAAAAUGAACAUCUAUUGUUAUUGGUAUGCCACCAAGUGUGUAACUUCUUAAAUCAAAAUCACAAAGCGACCCAUAAGAUGUUCUAAGAGUUGUUAGUUCAUAAUUUUGACAUGCACUUUACCAAAAAGUGAAUCCUAUGUAGAGAUGUUUGGAUCAUGAGGAGAUGUUCGACCAAAUACAUGUGUUGAUUGGAUAAGGGUAAUAAGAGUUAACGUGCAAUUGAGACUUCAGAAAUAUUUCUUAAACUGGUUAAAGACAGUUUUCGAUUGGGGAUUCAAAAUUCAAAUAAAGGAGGGAACUUUGCUUUUAUAAAAAACUGUUAAAGGUACACAUGAAGCAUAAUGGAUAGUUACAUCCAUGCAAGGUGCCAUGUAGAGAUGUUUGGAUCAUGAGGAGAUGUUCGACCAAAUACAUGUGUUGACUGGAUAAGGGUAAUAAGAGUUAACGUGCAAUUGAGACUUCAGAAAUAUUUCUUAAAUUGGUUAAAGAUAGUUUUCGAUUGGGGAUUCAAAAUUCAAAUAAAGGAGGGAAGUUUGCUCUUAUAAAAAACUGUUAAAGGUACACAUGAAGCAUAAUGGAUAGUUACAUCCAUGCAAGGUGCCAUGUGUCUCGAUGUGAUUGAAGGACCGUAAAAAACGAUUAUUUCCAUUCAGUAUAAAUAAAGGGUCUUAGUGUUUAAGAUCAAGUGUGUGUCAAAGAUUGUACAAAGUUUGUAAAUUUACCAAGUACUUAUGUGAAGAGGAACUGUAAAUCAAAGAAUGUACGUUUGUUUA